CCUACGGGAGGCAGCAGUGGGGAAUAUUGCGCAAUGGGCGAAAGCCUGACGCAGCGACGCCGCGUGAGGGAUGAAGGUCUUCGGAUCGUAAACCUCUGUCAGCAGGGAAGAACGGUCACUGUGCUAAUCAGCAGUGAAUUGACGGUACCUGCAAAGGAAGCACCGGCUAACUCCGUGCCAGCAGCCGCGGUAAUACGGAGGGUGCGAGCGUUAAUCGGAAUUACUGGGCGAAAAGCGCUCGUAGGCGGUAUGUCAAGUCAAGGGUGAAAUCCCCGCGCUCAACGUGGGAACUGCCUUUGAAACGGGCAAACUGGAGUGUGUGAGAGGAUAGUGGAAUUCCAGGUGUAGGAGUGAAAGCCGUAGAUAUCUGGAGGAACAUCAGUGGCGAAGGCGACUAUCUGGCACAUAACUGACGCUGAGGAGCGAAAGCGUGGGUAGCAAACAGGAUUAGAUACCCCAGUAGUC
Molecule: ribosomal RNA, 465 nt
Filed under: uncultured bacterium
Lineage: Bacteria
Description: partial 16S ribosomal RNA
Rfam family: Bacterial small subunit ribosomal RNA
Source: RNAcentral